UCUCUCCAUUUUGAUUACGACCCCGUUGGAGCUUUCUCUCCGAGUCGACCAUUACCAAUCUCUCUCUCUCUCUCUCUCUCUCUCUCUCUCUCUCUCUCUCGAUCAUAGGUUUUAGUCUCCGUGUCUCGGAGCUUCCAUUACUCUAUUCGUCUUCCUCUCUGCGUUCAAAUUUCAGUGAGCGAACAAUGGUGGCUAUGGCGAACGACUUUCAGGAUCGCCGGAAUUUGAAGCUCGAUAACCUUCACGACAUCAUCUACCUCAAGCCGUUUGCCACCCCAACCUCUUCACCAUAAUCGACCCGUUCUUUCACUUCUCACCCGCGCACAACCUGAUCUGUUUUUCGAUCGACGACCGGUGCCGGAAUCUCAUCUUCAAUCCAGGUCGAGAAAGCCUGGUUGAAUGGAUAGAGGAUCCAUCAUAUGGUAAUGCAAUGCAACAUUGUCUUGGAAUAUAGUUUAUGGAAGUGGUAAGAUCCAAUCCCUAUUGAGUAGUAUCUACAAUUGUAAUAUGGAGAUUAUGUUGUUUUAGGCUAAACAAUCAUGAAUGAUCUGUUUUGUGUUGCCUUCUAUUUGGAUAAAUAUUACCUUCUUCCAGGUCCUCUUUUAUCUCUCUUGGAUAUUCAACCACACAAAUUUAAUCACCGUUUUAGGUCAUUGGACUUGAUGUUGGUAUUCCUGUAAAGUGUUCUUUUGUAUGCAGUUAGUUGGUCAAAUUAUAUUGUAUAAAUCCAUGUUUCAGAUCCAUUGAGGCUUUCGUUUUGUGGAACUAAACUUCCCAUGCGACAUUUGCAAUUUUUGGACUGUUUCUAGUGAUCAUGUCAUGGUCUCAUGUUGUAUCUGCUAAAUGUUAGAUAAUUUUUCUGUACUUUUGACCUGUAGUUUUGCAAUACAAGGAAGAGAUUGGGUACUUGCAAAA
Rosa chinensis is the source of this 915-nucleotide long non-coding RNA. RefSeq lists it as uncharacterized. The record is from RefSeq and is a predicted model, not a curated record. Lineage: Eukaryota; Viridiplantae; Streptophyta; Magnoliopsida; Rosales; Rosaceae. The transcript has 4 exons.